UACGUAGGGUGCAAGCGUUGUCCGGAAUUAUUGGGCGUAAAGAGCUCGUAGGCGGUUUGUUGCGUCGGCUGUGAAAUCCCGAGGCUCAACCUCGGGUCUGCAGUCGAUACGAGCAAACUAGAGUGUUGCAGGGGAGACUGGAAUUCCCGGUGUAGCGGUGAAAUGCGUAGAGAUCGGGAAGAACAUCGGUGGCGAAAGCGCUCUACUGGGCCAUAACUGACACUCAGGGACGAAAGCUAGGGGAGCGAAUGGG
Molecule: ribosomal RNA, 253 nt
Filed under: uncultured bacterium
Lineage: Bacteria
Description: partial 16S ribosomal RNA
Rfam family: Bacterial small subunit ribosomal RNA
Source: RNAcentral